UCGAUUUGAGUGCUACAGGAAAUUCAACGAUGAAGUGGAUCGGUUUGACUUUCUUGUUGCUAUCAUCCUUGAUGGUGGCAACAGAAGCGCGACCCCAAGCCAGGUUCCCGCCUCACUUUCCUACAAGAGGGCCCAUCAUCCCUCCAUACCCCUGCAACUGUACGUUCCCACCGUGUCCUUGUGAUCCUCCUAGUCGGAACGGGCUCGAG
This is a long non-coding RNA of Penaeus monodon (black tiger shrimp), 209 nucleotides long. RefSeq lists it as uncharacterized. The transcript has 3 exons. The record is from RefSeq and is a predicted model, not a curated record. Lineage: Eukaryota; Metazoa; Arthropoda; Malacostraca; Decapoda; Penaeidae.